AAUUGAAGAGAGUACAGAGGGAGGAAAUCACUUGCAACCAGACAGAAGGUGUUUAUGCUGAGGAAAACCUACCAAAAAUAAAACUGAACUGAAAACCUGUCACUGAGCUGUUUGGACAAGGAGAUGAGAAGCAGCUAAGAAAAAUAUGGAGGUCCAGGCUAAAUUUGAUGACUCCCUCUCUGCUGCCACUUUCCUCUCGGAUGGACCCCUCGGGGUCCAAGAGUGUCACGGACUGCUGCACCACCCCAUCCCGAUGUCCGUCACCCCCAGCACAGCCUUAUGCCUUCUCCCCAUCCCACCUCAACCCUGCAGUGCCGCUUUGCAGAGGCAGAUUAUACUUGAUGACUUCAUCUUAAUCACAUUGUUUCAUUUUCUUUUAUCAGUGUAGCCGUCAUGCUACACUGGCUGCAAAAUACUCCAGAAGUGGGUUCACACAAGCCUCUUAUGCAUUCACAUGUAGGGGAGAGGAAUGCUCACAACCCAGAACUGCUUUUGAUUAAUUUGAAGGAAAAACUUUAAAGUCAAAUGCUGGAUGAUUAAAUUACUUUUUAAAUG
Long non-coding RNA from Xiphophorus couchianus (Monterrey platyfish), 555 nucleotides. RefSeq lists it as uncharacterized. The record is from RefSeq and is a predicted model, not a curated record. The transcript is spliced from 2 exons. Lineage: Eukaryota; Metazoa; Chordata; Actinopteri; Cyprinodontiformes; Poeciliidae.